UUUGUCCCUAACUCUGAUGCAUGAGAGGAGAGAGGAGAAUGAAAGGCACCUGACGCUGGAGCGCCCAUAAGACAGAUACGAAGAUAAUUGGCUGUGCUGCAACAAGAGGGGGCUUGCGGAUGAGAGGCUCACCAGGUCCUGCUCCCAUUUGACAGGCCAGUACAGUUUUAUCUACAAACUCUUCUCAUAUGUGUCUGCUGCUACUUAGUUGUACAUACUCACAUUUAUAGUGGGAACACAUUUAGUUGGGUGUAUAUAUUUAUUAGUGCUAGACAAUAAGAGCAGUAGUUUUGUGGGUAAAAAGAAAGGCUUGGCAAUAGACUGACCAGUUGAAAGGGCUGAUUAAGUACCGUAGUAUUGUUGAAUUAAAAGAGCAUUUCCAAAGGUCUAAAUUUUGCUGAAACGUGUGGAUGUGGUUUGUCAUUGCUGCUUGGUAAAAUCACACAGAUUGAUCUUUUACGGGUGUUGAUAAGUUUUAGGCCUCAGGGGAUGCUUCAUGAGAAGCACUAGGGGACAAUCGCGCCCACUCAGAGGACCUGUAAACCCUGAUAGGGGGACAGAACCUGGAUUUUAGGGGUGCCCAGAAGACCUAAAAGGGGGGUGUCAGCUGGUAGUGUCAGGGCCAGAACAAGAGCCAACCAUUGAAGUGAAAGUGAAUGAUAAACCAUUGACAGUUAUGGCAGAUUGCGGAGCUGCUUUCACCUGUGUUGAGAAUAAUUUUAAAGUGGGGAAAAGUUUCAUAAAAAAAAUCCUGAGUACACCCCAUAAUGUCCUCAAUGAGCUGAAUUUUUGAAGCCCAGAAUAGUUUCUGUAGCUCAAAGUUUGUGGGUGGAGAUAGGUGGUGAUGCAGACACAUAUUAACUGUGUGUACAUGCAGGUCUUUUAGACACACACACACGUGCACACACAUUGCCAGACUGUGUGUGUGUGUGUGUGUGUCGUUAAUGAUAGCAUCCUAAACAGCUGUGAGAUUAAAGGCAUUAACUGACCGACUGUUUGAAUGAGAAGCUGCCUCUGGACUUCUUCACAUAGCACGAUUUCCUUAUAACUAUAGUAAGGAAACAUUGAGCUCUGUGAGGAGAGGUGUGCUGAAGUUUGAGUGUGUGAGAGAAGCUUCUGGUGUGUGUGGGUGUGAGAGGAGUGUGUGUAUGGGUGCUGAGCUGUGUGUGUGAGGGCAAAAGAGUCUGUGUGCAGUGAGUGGUGUGUGCACAAAGUUGGGGAAUGGUCUAGCAUAAAUAUAAGUGAUUAACUUAUGAUAAAGUGAUGAAUGAUGUCUUAUUAAAUAUAUAAUGAUAUGAUAUAAGAAAUUAACAUAUAAGGGAAGAGAUACUGUUGCCUUUGUAGUGUUAAAAACAUAUGAGCCCUGUUUUUCUUUGUACAGGGACGUUAAUAGAAUAAGUAACUGCUAUGAGCCUCUCAGGAUAAAGAGGACGUUUGUACACCUAAUAGUAAGAAAUGAGCCCCUUAUUAGAUGAGGAGGACUUUGGAUGGUGAUAACAUCCUCGAUUAAAAUGGCAAUUAAAGAAGUGUACACAAGCACAUUUGUGUUCAUACAGAUACAGGGAAAAAACAGAGUAACAGAGUGGGGUAAAAUAAAAUGAUUUGCUAACUGAUGGGUAUGGUUUUCCUCUGUGUGUGUGUGAAUAUUUAAAGUGAAUGGUCACUUGCUGAUGAUUAUGUUUAGAGGGAAAAUCCCAGUUAAAAAUUGGAAAAAUCCAUGGAGCUUUCUCUCCCGCUUUCUUUCUCUUCUUGCAGGCCUGAGAACAGAAAGAAAGCUAAAAAAUCUAGUUUAACUAUCCUAGAUGUGUGAAAAUUUUAAAUGGUAUACCAUGGUAAAGGGGAAUGGUGUAUAAUAAAUUUAGGUAGUCUUAUGGUAGAAGAAAUCUUUAAUUAGUGGUAGGAAAUGUUGUUUUCAAGUUUAUUGAGUGAAUUGAUUGUAAUAUACUAAACAUUUGAUUUGUUCUUUGUCCCUAACUCUGAUGCAUGAGAGGAGAGAGGAGAAUGAAAGGCACCUGACGCUGGAGCGCCCAUCAGAGAGGCUCACCAGGUCCUGCUCCCAUUUGACAGGCCAGUACAGUUUUAUCUACAAACUCUUCUCCUAUGUGUCUGCUGCUACUUAGUUGUACAUACACACAUUUAUAGUGGGAACACAUUUAGUUGGGUGUAUAUAUUUAUUAGUGCUAGACAAUAAGAGCAGUAGUUUUGUGGGUAAAAAGAAAGGCUUGGCAAUAGACUGACCAGUUGAAAGGGCUGAUUAAGUACCGUAGUAUUGUUGAAUUAAAAGAGCAUAUCCAAGAGGUCUAAAUUUUGCUGAAACGUGUGGAUGUGGUUUGUCAUUGCUGCUCGGUAAAAUCACACAGAUUGAUCUUUUACGGGUGUUGAUAAGUCUUAGGCCUCAGGGGAUGCUUCAUGAGAAGCACUAGGGGACAAUCGCGCCCACUCAGAGGACCUGUAAACCCUGAUAGGGGGACAGAACCUUGAUUUUAGGGGUGCCCAGAAGACCUAAAAGGGGGGUGUCAGCUGGUAGUGUCAGGGCCAGAACAAGAGCCAACCAUUGAGGUGAAAGUGAAUGAUAAACCAUUGACAGUUAUGGCAGAUUGCGGAGCUGCUUUCACCUGUGUUGAGAAUAAUUCUAAAGUGGGGAAAAGUUUCAUAAAAAAAAUCCUGAGUACACCCUAUAAUGUCCUCAAUGAGCUGAAUUUUUGAAGCCCAGAAUAGUUUCUGUAGCUCAAAGUUUGUGGGUGGAGAUAGGUGGUGAUGCAGACACAUAUUAACUGUGUGUACAUGCAGGUAUUUUAGACACAGACACACACACACACACAUUGCCAGACUGUGUGUGUGUGUGUGUGUGUGUGUGUGUGUGUGUGUCGGUAAUGAUUGCAUCCUAAACAGCUGUGAGAUUAAAGGCAUUUACUGACCGACUGUUUGAAUGAGAAGCUGCCUCUGGACUUCUUCACAUAGUACGAUUUCCUAUAACUAUAGUAAGGAAACAUUGAGCUCUGUGAGGAGAGGUGUGCUGAAGUUUGAGUGUGUGAGAGAAGCUUCUGGUGUGUGUGUGAGAGGAGUGUGUGUAUGGGUGCUGAGCUGUGUGUGUGAGGGCAAAGGAGUCUGUGUGCAGUGAGUGGUGUGUGCACAAAGUUGGGGAAUGGUCUAGCAUAAAUAUAAGUGAUUAACUUAUGAUAAAGUGAUGAAUGAUGUCUUAUUAAAUAUAUAAUGAUAUGAUAUAAGAAAUUCACAUAUAAGGGAAGAGAUUCUGUUGCCUUUGUAGUGUUAAAAACAUAUGAGCCCUGUUUUUCUUUGUACAGGGACGUUAAUAGAAUAAGUAACUGCUAUGAGCCUCUCAGGAUAAAGAGGACGUUUGUACACCUAAUAGUAAGAAAUGAGCCCCUUAUUAGAUGAGGAGGACUUUGGAUGGUGAUAACAUCCUCGAUUAAAAUGGCAACUAAAGAAGUGUACACAAGCACAUUAGUGUUCAUACAGAUACAGGGAAAAAACAGAGUAACAGAGUGGGGUAAAAUAAAAUGAUUUGCUAACUGAUGGGUAUGGUUUUCCUCUGUGUGUGUGUGAAUAUUUAAAGUGAAUGGUCACUUGCUGAUGAUUAUGUUUAGAGGGAAAAUCCCAGUUAAAAAUUGGAAAAAUCCAGGGAGCUUUCUCUUCUUACAGGCCUGAGAACAGAAAGAAAGCUAAAAAAUCUAGUUUAACUAUCCUAGAUGUGUGAAAAUGUUAAAUGGUAUACCAUGGUAAAGGGGAAUGGUGUAUAAUAAAUUUAGGUAGUCUUAUGGUAGAAGAAAUCUUUAAUUAGUGGUAGGAAAUGUUGUUUUCAAGUGUAUUGAGUGAAUUGAUUGUAAUAUACUAAACAUUUGAUUUGUUCUUUGUCCCUAACUCUGAUGCAUGAGAGGAGAGAGGAGAAUGAAAGGCACCUGACGCUGGAGCGCCCAUAAGACAGAUGUUGCUGUGCUGCAACAAGAGGGGGCUUGCAGAUGAGAGGCUCACCAGGUCCUGCUCCCAUUUGACAGGCCAGUACAGUUUUAUCUACAAACUCUUCUCCUAUGUGUCUGCUGCUACUUAGUUGUACAUACACACAUUUAUAGUGGGAACACAUUUAGUUGGGUGUAUAUAUUUAUUAGUGCUAGACAAUAAGAGCAGUAGUUUUGUGGGUAAAAAGAAAGGCUUGGCAAUAGACUGACCAGUUGAAAGGGCUGAUUAACUACCGUAGUAUUGUUGAAUUAAAAGAGCAUUUCCAAGAGGUCUUAAUUUUGCUGAAACGUGUGGAUGUGGUUUGUCAUUGCUGCUCGGUAAAAUCACACAGAUUGAUCUUUUACGGGUGUUGAUAAGUCUUAGGCCUCAGGGGAUGCUUCAUGAGAAGCACUAGGGGACAAUCGCGCCCACUCAGAGGACCUGUAAACCCUGAUAGGGGGACAGAACCUUGAUUUUAGGGGUGCCCAGAAGACCUAAAAGGGGGGUGUCAGCUGGUAGUGUCAGGGCCAGAACAAGAGCCAACCAUUGAGGUGAAAGUGAAUGAUAAACCAUUGACAGUUAUGGCAGAUUGCGGAGCUGCUUUCACCUGUGUUGAGAAUAAUUCUAAAGUGGGGAAAAGUUUCAUAAAAAAAAUCCUGAGUACACCCCAUAAUGUCCUCAAUGAGCUGAAUUUUUGAAGCCCAGAAUAGUUUCUGUAGCUCAAAGUUUGUGGGUGGAGAUAGGUGGUGAUGCAGACACAUAUUAACUGUGUGUACAUGCAGGUAUUUUAGACACAGACACACAUGCACACACAUUGCCAGACUGUGUGUGUGUGUGUGUGUGUGUGUGUGUGUGUGUGUGUGUGUGUGUGUGUGUGUGUGUGUGUGUGUGUGUGUGUGUGUGUCGUUAAUGAUCGCAUCCUAAACAGCUGUGAGAUUAAAGGCAUUAACUGACCGACUGUUUGAAUGAGAAGCUGCCUCUGGACUUCCUCACAUAGUACGAUUUCCUUAUAACUAUAGUAAGGAAACAUUGAGCUCUGUGAGGAGAGGUGUGCUGAAGUUUGAGUGUGUGAGAGAAGCUUCUGGUGUGUGUGUGUGUGAGAGGAGUGUGUGUAUGGGUGCUGAGCUGUGUGUGUGAGGGCAAAAGAGUCUGUGUGCAGUGAGUGGUGUGUGCACAAAGUUGGGGAAUGGUCUAGCAUAAAUAUAAGUGAUUAACUUAUGAUAAAGUGAUGAAUGAUGUCUUAUUAAAUAUAUAAUGAUAUGAUAUAAGAAAUUAACAUAUAAGGGAAGAGAUUCUGUUGCCUUUGUAGUGUUAAAAACAUAUGAGCCCUGUUUUUCUUUGUACAGGGACGUUAAUAGAAUAAGUAACUGCUAUGAGCCUCUCAGGAUAAAGAGGACGUUUGUACACCUAAUAGUAAGAAAUGAGCCCCUUAUUAGAUGAGGAGGACUUUGGAUGGUGAUAACAUCCUCGAUUAAAAUGGCAACUAAAGAAGUGUACACAAGCACAUUAGUGUUCAUACAGAUACAGGGAAAAAAUAGAGUGGGGUAAAAUGGAAUGAUUUGCUAACUGAUGGGUAUGGUUUUCUUCUGUGUGUGUAUGUGAAUAUUUAAAGUGAAUGGUCACUUGCUGAUGAUUAUGUUUAGAGGGAAAAUCCCAGUUAAAAAUUGGAAAAAUCCAUGGAGCUUUCUCUUCUUACAGGCCUGAGAACAGAAAGAAAGCUAAAAAAUCUAGUUUAACUAUCCUAGAUGUGUGAAAAUUUUAAAUGGUAUACCAUGGUAAAGGGGAAUGGUGUAUAAUAAAUUUAGGUAGUCUUAUGGUAGAAGAAAUCUUUAAUUAGUGGUAGGAAAUGUUGUUUUCAAGUGUAUUGAGUGAAUUGAUUGUAAUAUACUAAACAUUUGAUUUGUUCUUUGUCCCUAACUCUGAUGCAUGAGAGGAGAGAGGAGAAUGAAAGGCACCUGACGCUGGAGCGCCCAUAAGACAGAUACGAAGAUAAAUGGCUGUGCUGCAACAAGAGGGGGCUUGCGGAUGAGAGGCUCACCAGGUCCUGCUCCCAUUUGACAGGCCAGUACAGUUUUAUCUACAAACUCUUCUCCUAUGUGUCUGCUGCUACUUAGUUGUACAUACACACAUUUAUAGUGGGAACACAUUUAGUUGGGUGUAUAUAUUUAUUUGUGCUAGACAAUAAGAGCAGUAGUUUUGUGGGUAAAAAGAAAGGCUUGGCAAUAGACUGACCAGUUGAAAGGGCUGAUUAAGUACCGUAGUAUUGUUGAAUCAAAAGAGCAUUUCCAAAGGUCUAAAUUUUGCUGAAACGUGUGGAUGUGGUUUGUCAUUGCUGCUCGGUAAAAUCACACAGAUUGAUCUUUUACGGGUGUUGAUAAGUUUUAGGCCUCAGGGGAGGCUUCAUGAGAAGCACUAGGGGACAAUCGCGCCCACUCAGAGGCCCUGUAAACCCUGAUAGGGGGACAGAACCUGGAUUUUAGGGGUGCCCAGAAGACCUAAAAGGGGGGUGUCAGCUGGUAGUGUCAGGGCCAGAACAAGAGCCAACCAUUGAGGUGAAAGUGAAUGAUAAACCAUUGACAGUUAUGGCAGAUUGCGGAGCUGCUUUCACCUGUGUUGAGAAUAAUUUUAAAGUGGGGAAAAGUUUAAUAAAAAAAAUCCUGAGUACACCCCAUAAUGUCCUCAAUGAGCUGAAUUUUUGAAGCCCAGAAUAGUUUCUGUAGCUCAAAGUUUGUGGGUGGAGAUAGGUGGUGAUGCAGACACAUAUUAACUGUGUGUACAUGCAGGUCUUUUAGACAGUGUGUGUAUGGGUGCUGAGCUGUGUGUGUGAGGGCAAAAGAGUCUGUGUGCAGUGAGUGGUGUGUGCACAAAGUUGGGGAAUGGUCUAGCAUAAAUAUAAGUGAUUAACUUAUGAUAAAGUGAUGAAUGAUGUCUUAUUAAAUAUAUAAUGAUAUGAUAUAAGAAAUUCACAUAUAAGGGAAGAGAUACUGUUGCCUUUGUAGUGUUAAAAACAUAUGAGCCCUGUUUUUCUUUGUACAGGGACGUUAAUAGAAUAAGUAACUGCUAUGAGCCUCUCAGGAUAAAGAGGACGUUUGUACACCUAAUAGUAAGAAAUGAGCCCCUUAUUAGAUGAGGAGGACUUUGGAUGGUGAUAACAUCCUCGAUUAAAAUGGCAACUAAAGAAGUGUACACAAGCACAUUUGUGUUCAUACAGAUACAGGGAAAAAACAGAGUGGGGUAAAAUGAAAUGAUUUGCUAACUGAUGGGUAUGGUUUUCCUCUGUGUGUGUGUGAAUAUUUAAAGUGAAUGGUCACUUGCUGAUGAUUAUGUUUAGAGGGAAAAUCCCAGUUAAAAAUUGGAAAAAUCCAGGGAGCUUUCUCUUCUUACAGGCCUGAGAACAGAAAGAAAGCUAAAAAAUCUAGUUUAACUAUCCUAGAUGUGUGAAAAUUUUAAAUGGUAUACCAUGGUAAAGGGGAAUGGUGUAUAAUAAAUUUAGGUAGUCUUAUGGUAGAAGAAAUCUUUAAUUAGUGGUAGGAAAUGUUGUUUUCAAGUGUAUUGAGUGAAUUGAUUGUAAUAUACUAAACAUUUGAUUUGUUCUUUGUCCCUAACUCUGAUGCAUGAGAGGAGAGAGGAGAAUGAAAGGCACCUGACGCUGGAGCGCCCAUAAGACAGAUGUUGCUGUGCUGCAACAAGAGGGGGCUUGCGGAUGAGAGGCUCACCAGGUCCUGCUCCCAUUUGACAGGCCAGUACAGUUUUAUCUACAAACUCUUCUCCUAUGUGUCUGCUGCUACUUAGUUGUACAUACACACAUUUAUAGUGGGAACACAUUUAGUUGGGUGUAUAUAUUUAUUAGUGCUAGACAAUAAGAGCAGUAGUUUUGUGGGUAAAAAGAAAGGCUUGGCAAUAGACUGACCAGUUGAAAGGGCUGAUUAAGUACCGUAGUAUUGUUGAAUAAAAAGAGCAUUUCCAAGAGGUCUUAAUUUUGCUGAAACGUGUGGAUGUGGUUUGUCAUUGCUGCUUGGUAAAAUCACACAGAUUGAUCUUUUACGGGUGUUGAUAAGUUUUAGGCCUCAGGGGAGGCUUCAUGAGAAGCACUAGGGGACAAUCGCGCCCACUCAGAGGACCUGUAAACCCUGAUAGGGGGACAGAACCUGGAUUUUAGGGGUGCCCAGAAGACCUAAAAGGGGGGUGUCAGCUGGUAGUGUCAGGGCCAGAACAAGAGCCAACCAUUGAGGUGAAAGUGAAUGAUAAACCAUUGACAGUUAUGGCAGAUUGCGGAGCUGCUUUCACCUGUGUUGAGAAUAAUUUUAAAGUGGGGAAAAGUUUAAUAAAAAAAAUCCUGAGUACACCCCAUAAUGUCCUCAAUGAGCUGAAUUUUUGAAGCCCAGAAUAGUUUCUGUAGCUCAAAGUUUGUGGGUGGAGAUAGGUGGUGAUGCAGACACAUAUUAACUGUGUGUACAUGAAGUUCUUUUAGACACAGACACACACACACACACACACACACACACACACACACACACACACACACACAUUGCCACACUGUGUGUGUGUGUGUGUGUGUGGUUAAUGAUUGCAUCCUAAACAGCUGUGAGAUUAAAGGCAUUAACUGACCGACUGUUUGAAUGAGAAGCUGCCUCUGGACUUUCUCACAUAGUACGAUUUUCUUAUAACUAUAGUAAGGAAACAUUGAGCUCUGUGAGGAGAGGUGUGCUGAAGUUUGAGUGUGUCAGAGAAGCUUCUGGUGUGUGUGUGUGAGAGGAGUGUGUGUAUGGGUGCUGAGCUGUGUGUGUGAGGGCAAAAGAGUCUGUGUGCAGUGAGUGGUGUGUGCACAAAGUUGGGGAAUGGUCUAGCAUAAAUAUAAGUGAUUAACUUAUGAUAAAGUGAUGAAUGAUGUCUUAUUAAAUAUAUAAUGAUAUGAUAUAAGAAAUUCACAUAUAAGGGAAGAGAUACUGUUGCCUUUGUAGUGUUAAAAACAUAUGAGCCCUGUUUUUCUUUGUACAGGGACGUUAAUAGAAUAAGUAACUGCUAUGAGCCUCUCAGGAUAAAGAGGACGUUUGUACACCUAAUAGUAAGAAAUGAGCCCCUUAUUAGAUGAGGAGGACUUUGGAUGGUGAUAACAUCCUCGAUUAAAAUGGCAACUAAAGAAGUGUACACAAGCACAUUUGUGUUCAUACAGAUACAGGGAAAAAACAGAGUGGGGUAAAAUGAAAUGAUUUGCUAACUGAUGGGUAUGGUUUUCCUCUGUGUGUGUGUGAAUAUUUAAAGUGAAUGGUCACUUGCUGAUGAUUAUGUUUAGAGGGAAAAUCCCAGUUAAAAAUUGGAAAAAUCCAGGGAGCUUUCUCUCCCGCUUUCUUUCUCUUCUUACAGGCCUGAGAACAGAAAGAAAGCUAAAAAAUCUAGUUUAACGAUCCUAGAUGUGUGAAAAUUUUAAAUGGUAUACCAUGGUAAAGGGGAAUGGUGUAUAAUAAAUUUAGGUAGUCUUAUGGUAGAAGAAAUCUUUAAUUAGUGGUAGGAAAUGUUGUUUUCAAGUGUAUUGAGUGAAUUGAUUGUAAUAUACUAAACAUUUGAUUUGUUCUUUGUCCCUAACUCUGAUGCAUGAGAGGAGAGAGGAGAAUGAAAGGCACCUGACGCUGGAGCGCCCAUAAGACAGAUGUUGCUGUGCUGCAACAAGAGGGGGCUUGCGGAUGAGAGGCUCACCAGGUCCUGCUCCCAUUUGACAGGCCAGUACAGUUUUAUCUACAAACUCUUCUCCUAUGUGUCUGCUGCUACUUAGUUGUACAUACACACAUUUAUAGUGGGAACACAUUUAGUUGGGUGUAUAUAUUUAUUAGUGCUAGACAAUAAGAGCAGUAGUUUUGUGGGUAAAAAGAAAGGCUUGGCAAUAGACUGACCAGUUGAAAGGGCUGAUUAAGUACCGUAGUAUUGUUGAAUUAAAAGAGCAUUUCCAAAGGUCUAAAUUUUGCUGAAACGUGUGGAUGUGGUUUGUCAUUGCUGCUUGGUAAAAUCACACAGAUUGAUCUUUUACGGGUGUUGAUAAGUUUUAGGCCUCAGGGGAUGCUUCAUGAGAAGCACUAGGGGACAAUCGCGCCCACUCAGAGGACCUGUAAACCCUGAUAGGGGGACAGAACCUGGAUUUUAGGGGUGCCCAGAAGACCUAAAAGGGGGGUGUCAGCUGGUAGUGUCAGGGCCAGAACAAGAGCCAACCAUUGAGGUGAAAGUGAAUGAUAAACCAUUGACAGUUAUGGCAGAUUGCGGAGCUGCUUUCACCUGUGUUGAGAAUCAUUUUAAAGUGGGGAAAAUUUAAAAAAAAAAAUCCUUAGUACACCCCAUAAUGUCCUCAAUGAGCUGAAUUUUUGAAGCCCAGAAUAGUUUCUGUAGCUCAAAGUUUGUGGGUGGAGAUAGGUGGUGAUGCAGACACAUAUUAACUGUGUGUACAUGCAGGUCUUUUAGACAGUGUGUGUAUGGGUGCUGAGCUGUGUGUGUGAGGGCAAAAGAGUCUGUGUGCAGUGAGUGGUGUGUGCACAAAGUUGGGGAAUGGUCUAGCAUAAAUAUAAGUGAUUAACUUAUGAUAAAGUGAUAAAUGAUGUCUUAUUAAAUAUAUACUGAUAUGAUAUAAGAAAUUCACAUAUAAGGGAAGAGAUUCUGUUGCCUUUGUAGUGUUAAAAACAUAUGAGCCCUGUUUUUCUUUGUACAGGGACGUUAAUAGAAUAAGUAACUGCUAUGAGCCUCUCAGGAUAAAGAGGACGUUUGUACACCUAAUAGUAAGAAAUGAGCCCCUUAUUAGAUGAGGAGGACUUUGGAUGGUGAUAACAUCCUCGAUUAAAAUGGCAACUAAAGAAGUGUACACAAGCACAUUAGUGUUCAUACAGAUACAGGGAAAAAACAGAGUAACAGAGUGGGGUAAAAUAAAAUGAUUUUCUAACUGAUGGGUAUGGUUUUCCUCUGUGUGUGUGUGAAUAUUUAAAGUGAAUGGUCACUUGCUGAUGAUUAUGUUUAGAGGGAAAAUCCCAGUUAAAAAUUGGAAAAAUCCAUGGAGCUUUCUCUUCUUACAGGCCUGAGAACAGAAAGAAAGCUAAAAAAUCUAGUUUAACUAUCCUAGAUGUGUGAAAAUUUUAAAUGGUAUACCAUGGUAAAGGGGAAUGGUGUAUAAUAAAUUUAGGUAGUCUUAUGGUAGAAGAAAUCUUUAAUUAGUGGUAGGAAAUGUUGUUUUCAAGUGUAUUGAGUGAAUUGAUUGUAAUAUACUAAACAUUUGAUUUGUUCUUUGUCCCUAACUCUGAUGCAUGAGAGGAGAGAGGAGAAUGAAAGGCACCUGACGCUGGAGCGCCCAUAAGACAGAUGUUGCUGUGCUGCAACAAGAGGGGGCUUGCAGAUGAGAGGCUCACCAGGUCCUGCUCCCAUUUGACAGGCCAGUACAGUUUUAUCUACAAACUCUUCUCCUAUGUGUCUGCUGCUACUUAGUUGUACAUACACACAUUUAUAGUGGGAACACAUUUAGUUGGGUGUAUAUAUUUAUUAGUGCUAGACAAUAAGAGCAGUAGUUUUGUGGGUAAAAAGAAAGGCUUGGCAAUAGACUGACCAGUUGAAAGGGCUGAUUAAGUACCGUAGUAUUGUUGAAUUAAAAGAGCAUUUCCAAAGGUCUAAAUUUUGCUGAAACGUGUGGAUGUGGUUUGUCAUUGCUGCUCGGUAAAAUCACACAGAUUGAUCUUUUACGGGUGUUGAUAAGUCUUAGGCCUCAGGGGAGGCUUCAUGAGAAGCACUAGGGGACAAUCGCGCCCACUCAGAGGACCUGUAAACCCUGAUAGGGGGACAGAACCUGGAUUUUAGGGGUGCCCAGAAGACCUAAAAGGGGGGUGUCAGCUGGUAGUGUCAGGGCCAGAACAAGAGCCAACCAUUGAGGUGAAAGUGAAUGAUAAACCAUUGACAGUUAUGGCAGAUUGCGGAGCUGCUUUCACCUGUGUUGAGAAUAAUUUAAAGUGGGGAAAAGUUUAAAAAAAAAAUCCUGAGUACACCCCAUAAUGUCCUCAAUGAGCUGAAUUUUUGAAGCCCAGAAUAGUUUCUGUAGCUCAAAGUUUGUGGGUGGAGAUAGGUGAUGAUGCAGACACAUACUAACUGUGUGUACAUGCAGGUCUUUUAGACACAGACACACAUGCACACACAUUGCCAGACUGUAUGUGUGUGUGUGUGUGUGGUUAAUGAUUGCAUCCUAAACAGCUGUGAGAUUAAAGGCAUUAACUGACCGACUGUUUGAAUGAGAAGCUGCCUCUGGACUUCUUCACAUAGUACGAUUUCCUUAUAACUAUAGUAAGGAAACAUUGAGCUCUGUGAGGAGAGGUGUGCUGAAGUUUGAGUGUGUGAGAGAAGCUUCUGGUGUGUGUGUGAGAGGAGUGUGUGUAUGGGUGCUGAGCUGUGUGUGUGAGGGCAAAAGAGUCUGUGUGCAGUGAGUGGUGUGUGCACAAAGUUGGGGAAUGGUCUAGCAUAAAUAUAAGUGAUUAACUUAUGAUAAAGUGAUGAAUGAUGUCUUAUUAAAUAUAUAAUGAUAUGAUAUAAGAAAUUCACAUAUAAGGGAAGAGAUACUGUUGCCUUUGUAGUGUUAAAAACAUAUGAGCCCUGUUUUUCUUUGUACAGGGACGUUAAUAGAAUAAGUAACUGCUAUGAGCCUCUCAGGAUAAAGAGGACGUUUGUACACCUAAUAGUAAGAAAUGAGCCCCUUAUUAGAUGAGGAGGACUUUGGAUGGUGAUAACAUCCUCGAUUAAAAUGGCAACUAAAGAAGUGUACAUAAGCACAUUAGUGUUCAUAUAGAUACAGGGAAAAAACAGAGUGGGGUAAAAUGGAAUGAUUUGCUAACUGAUGGGUAUGGUUUUCCUCUGUGUGUGUGUGAAUAUUUAAAGUGAAUGGUCACUUGCUGAUGAUUAUGUUUAGAGGGAAAGUCCCAGUUAAAAAUUGGAAAAAUCCAGGGAGCUUUCUCUCCCGCUUUCUUUCUCUUCUUACAGGCCUGAGAACAGAAAGAAAGCUAAAAAAUCUAGUUUAACUAUCCUAGAUGUGUGGGAAAUUUUAAAUGGUAUACCAUGGUAAAGGGGAAUGGUGUAUAAUAAAUUUAGGUAGUCUUAUGGUAGAAGAAAUCUUUAAAUAGUGGUAGGAAAUGUUGUUUUCAAGUGUAUUGAGUGAAUUGAUUGUAAUAUACUAAACAUUUGAUUUGUUCUUUGUCCCUAACUCUGAUGCAUGAGAGGAGAGAGGAGAAUGAAAGGCACCUGACGCUGGAGCGCCCAUAAGACAGAUGUUGCUGUGCUGCAACAAGAGGGGGCUUGCGGAUGAGAGGCUCACCAGGUCCUGCUCCCAUUUGACAGGCCAGUACAGUUUUAUCUACAAACUCUUCUCCUAUGUGUCUGCUGCUACUUAGUUGUACAUACACACAUUUAUAGUGG
Molecule: long non-coding RNA, 13377 nt
Filed under: Xyrichtys novacula (pearly razorfish)
Lineage: Eukaryota; Metazoa; Chordata; Actinopteri; Labriformes; Labridae
Source: RNAcentral